AUGCACGCUGGCGGCGUGCCUAAUACAUGCCAGUCGAGCGAACGGACGAGAAGCUUGCUUCUCUGAUGUUAGCGGCGGACGGGUGAGUAACACGUGGAUAACCUACCUAUAAGACUGGGAUAACUUCGGGAAACCGGAGCCAAUACCGGAUAAUAUUUUGAACCGCAUGGUUCAAAAGUGAAAGACGGUCUUGCUGUCACUUAUAGAUGGAUCCGCGCUGCAUUAGCUAGUUGGUAAGGUAACGGCUUACCAAGGCAACGAUGCAUAGCCGACCUGAGAGGGUGAUCGGCCACACUGGAACUGAGACACGGUCCAGACUCCUACGGGAGGCAGCAGUAGGGAAUCUUCCGCAAUGGGCGAAAGCCUGACGGAGCAACGCCGCGUGAGUUAUGAAGGUCUUCGGAUCGUAAAACUCUGUUAUUAGGGAAGAACAUAUGUGUAAGUAACUGUGCACAUCUUGACGGUACCUAAUCAGAAAGCCACGGCUAACUACGUG
This 496-nucleotide ribosomal RNA is filed under the name uncultured bacterium. RNAcentral describes it as "partial 16S ribosomal RNA". It matches the Rfam family "Bacterial small subunit ribosomal RNA", at positions 29 to 507 of the family's 1533-position model. The record is from RNAcentral.